Molecule: transfer RNA, 72 nt
Filed under: Physcomitrium pyriforme
Lineage: Eukaryota; Viridiplantae; Streptophyta; Bryopsida; Funariales; Funariaceae
Description: partial tRNA-His
Rfam family: tRNA
About the family: Transfer RNA (tRNA) molecules are approximately 80 nucleotides in length.
Source: RNAcentral
GCGGACGUGGCCAAGUGGAUUAAGGCAGUGGUUUGUGGAGCCACUAUGCGCGGGUUCAAUUCCGGUCGUUCA